CGGUGUUCAACUGGCGUGCCCGCGGGACGUCCUGCCGGUGAGCUCAGCCCGCGAGGGCGGCUCAACUUGAAAUCCCAUCGCGGUGCUCUUCAUUGAGUGUCGAGGUGGGCCGGCACGAUUACUUUUGAACAAAUUAGAGUGCUUAAAGCAGGCUAAAAUUUUGCCUGAAUACUGUGUAUAUGGAAUAAUGGAAUAGGACCUCGGUUCUAUUUUGUUGGUUUUCGGAACCCCGAGGUAAUGAUUAAUAGGAACGGAUGGGGGCAUUCGUAUUGCGACGUUAGAGGUGAAAUUCUUGGAUCGUCGCAAGACGGACUAAAGCGAAAGCAUUUGCCAAAAACGCUUUCAUUGAUCAAGAACGAAAGUUAGAGGUUCGAAGGCGAUCAGAUACCGCCCUAGUUCUAACCAUAAACUAUGCCAGCUAGCGAUCCGCCGACGUCCCUCUGAUGACUCGGCGGGCAGCUUCCGGGAAACCAAAGCUUUUGGGGUUCCGGGGGAAGUAUGGUUGCAAAGCUGAAACUUAAAGGAAUUGACGGAAGGGCACCACCAGGAGUGGGAGCCCGGCGGCUUAAUUUGACUCAACACGGGAAACCUCACCAGGCCCAGACACUGGAAGGAUUGACAGAUUGAGAGCUCUUUCUUGAUUCAGUGGGUGGUGGUGCAUGGGCCGUUCUUAGUCGGUGGAGCGAUUUGUCAGGUUAAUUCCGAUAACGGACGAGACUCUGACCUGAUAACUAGACGCACUUGCGGCAUCUCAAAGGUCCGCCGGCGGCUGGCUUUGCGCCCGUCGUCGCGCGCGAUUUUUACUGCCGGCGUACAAUAAAUUCUUCUUAGAGGGACAAGUGG
RNAcentral lists this ribosomal RNA (843 nucleotides) under uncultured eukaryote. RNAcentral describes it as "SSU rRNA". It matches the Rfam family "Eukaryotic small subunit ribosomal RNA", at positions 635 to 1426 of the family's 1831-position model. The record is from RNAcentral.